This is a long non-coding RNA of Thalassophryne amazonica, 295 nucleotides long. RefSeq lists it as uncharacterized. NCBI's taxonomy places the organism in Eukaryota, Metazoa, Chordata, Actinopteri, Batrachoidiformes, Batrachoididae. The record is from RefSeq and is a predicted model, not a curated record. The transcript is spliced from 2 exons.
GUUGACAUGCUUCGACAACGUUACAGACAAUAUGGGAUUAAUCCCGAUAUCUCUCUUCCGAGACAAACAAAAUGUAAUCGACGAAAGAGAAGAAUUGUAGGUGGUGAAACCAUUGAUCUCAACUCUUCACAGUCGGUUGCUCCCGAGCAUUCAAAGACUGACGAAGGGAUUGAUUGUAACCACUGUGGCACUGAUGUUGAACAACCUGAAACUGACUUACCAAUGAAUGAUCGAAUGGACAUCAGAAAUAGAGCUGUGUUUCAACAUAGUAGUUCUCAAGAAGGUGGGGUGGUUU